Molecule: ribosomal RNA, 813 nt
Filed under: uncultured bacterium
Lineage: Bacteria
Description: bacterial SSU rRNA
Rfam family: Bacterial small subunit ribosomal RNA
Source: RNAcentral
CAGUCGCGGGGCAGCAUGACAUCAGCUUGCUGAUGUUGAUGGCGACCGCCUUACGGGUGAGUAACGCGUAUCCAACCUGCCCUUUACUAUGGGACAGCCCGUCGAAAGGCGGAUUAAUACCGUAUGUUGUCAUGUUGAUGCAUAUUUUCAUGACCAAAGGCUUCGGCCGGUAAAGGAUGGGGAUGCGUCUGAUUAGCUUGCCGGCGGGGUAACGGCCCACCGGGGCGACGAUCAGUAGGGGUUCUGAGAGGAAGGUCCCCCACAUUGGAACUGAGACACGGUCCAAACUCCUACGGGAGGCAGCAGUGAGGAAUAUUGGUCAAUGGGCGCGAGCCUGAACCAGCCAAGUAGCGUGCAGGACGACGGCCCUAUGGGUUGUAAACUGCUUUUAUACGGGGAUAAAGUAUGCCACGUGUGGUUUAUUGCAGGUACCGUAUGAAUAAGGACCGGCUAAUUCCGUGCCAGCAGCCGCGGUAAUACGGAAGGUCCGGGCGUUAUCCGGAUUUAUUGGGUUUAAAGGGAGCGUAGGCCGGGUUUUAAGCGUGCCGUGAAAUGUCGGGGCUCAACCUUGACACUGCGGCGCGAACUGGAGUCCUUGAGUGCGCGGAACGUAUGCGGAAUUCGUGGUGUAGCGGUGAAAUGCUUAGAUAUCACGAAGAACCCCGAUUGCGAAGGCAGCAUACGGCAGCGCUACUGACGCUGAAGCUCGAAGGCGCGGGUAUCGAACAGGAUUAGAUACCCUGGUAGUCCGCGCGGUAAACGAUGGAUGCCCGCUGUUGGCGAUAUAUUGUCAGCGGCCAAGCGAAAGCGUUA